GGUUGAUUGAUCUUCUUCGAGAUUAUUCUGAUGUGUUUGCUUGGUCCUUUCAAGAUAUGCCUAUAGCGGUAAAUUCAUGAUCAUCAAGCUAUGGAUAAGCUAGACGUCAACAAAACCAGAGUCGCCACCGCGCUUUUAUUGUUUCCAAGGGAAAAGAGAAAAGUACGAACAAAACCCAAAAAGAUAAGAAGUUUUCAAAUCAAAACUAAUAAAAUAUGAGAGAUUUCAGGUAAGGGGGUUGGUUACACAGAGGGAAGGUGUUAGCACCCAAAGUGUCAUAGGUACUCCUAGGGAGCCUUUUUUUGUGUGCAUAUGUGUUUUUGUACAAAUGAUGUUUG
This 338-nucleotide long non-coding RNA is filed under the name Lathyrus oleraceus (garden pea). RNAcentral describes it as "Pisum sativum (pea) long non-coding RNA (PSAT_LNC009001)". The record is from RNAcentral. Lineage: Eukaryota; Viridiplantae; Streptophyta; Magnoliopsida; Fabales; Fabaceae.